Molecule: long non-coding RNA, 2193 nt
Organism: Cyprinus carpio carpio
Lineage: Eukaryota; Metazoa; Chordata; Actinopteri; Cypriniformes; Cyprinidae
Source: Ensembl
UUUUGAAUGAAUUCAUGUUUUAUUUCUCUGAAUACUCAACAAUGUCCUGCAACAAAGUAAAAAUCACAGAGCAUGAAUGGUUUAAUUUCAAAAAAGAAAAAAAAAAGUUUUUGUACAGUAGACGUAUAACCAUUACAAGAUACUGCUCAAUAGGAUCUCUUCGUAGUUGUAUUUCAUUGGACAUCACCGAGAAGACAGGACAGAUGGUUGGCAACAGAAUACUUACAACUGUUCAGAGUACUAUAAGCAGUGUAGAUGACUGAUUCGAGAUCAGCUGAAUGCGGCUGAUCUGGCAAGAAACAGUCUUCAAAAUGAACUGAUGAAAGACUAGUUUAUAAAUGCAAAAUAUAGUACUUACAGAAAUAAGUUUAAAGCUUAAAGAAACUGUUUAGUGGACAAUUUUAUCCGAAGAAUAUAAGCAUACACAUAAGAGUCAGUCAUAUCUUUAAGUUUUUUUCUUUAAAGUAUUUAACAAAGACACCAUUGAUACCAAAAGAUCUGCGAUGAGCAAAUAUAAUUCAUCAUAUGUCAAACAAAUAGUGAAACGUAGCAUCACUGUGAUGUCAUCUGUUUUCAUGGGGCAGAUGUCAGUGCAGGCAGACUCAGCUCAUCUGCAGUUAUUUCUAUAUUAAUGGGCACAAAUGCAAACUAUGCCAAGCCAUCAGUUACAAAAUACAUUUACAGAUUCACAAAAAAACCUCUACAAAUAAUAAAUAAAUACAUACAAGUACAUUUCUACAUAACUAUUUAAAUUAGAUAAAACGAUCUUGUUGGCUGGAGUGUUAGUCAUACUGCUGUAAUUCUCUAAAUAAUACAAAGCUUCAUCAUCUAAACUAUAAACAUAACAGCACUGAAGAAAAAUUAUUUUUCAUUUCAGAUCUACAGAGGCCGUCUAUCCAGAAGCCUUGGAAAUGUUUCUAUAAUCUUAGUAACCAAAGGACAACUUCCAUUUUGUCUUAAAAUAACACCCCAUUCCAUCACCCCAAAACACCCCUAGUGUUUCUCGCACCACUUUUUAACGGAAAAUGUGCAUUUUCUCCCCCACAUACAACUGAUUUUGGUCCAGUAUAGGAACAAAUGUCCGUUUAAUCAAAAUUAAGAUAACGCAAAAAACUGCAUACAGCUGUCUAAAACUGAAACACAACAAUGAUAUCGCAUCUUCCAGCAAACUCAUUCUGAAUUUUUCAGUUCGCAAACUGAUGAGGCACUAAAAUCUCUUCGCUAAGGGUAUUUUUUAGGAUACCUUGACGGUACAAUAAAAAGACGUAGUAACUGACAAACUAAAAAUAUACAGCCAGGUUUAUGAAUGUAAUGUCCUGUAUGUUUCUGAUGAAUUUGUGAAUACUGUACUUCUAUGCUUUCUGUAAUAUUCAGUUAGAGGACCAUGACCAAACAAAAAGGAGAUUCCUUGAAAUUCUUAGUAACAAUAAAAAAAAACUGCAUUAAGCUAUCAAAAAUAAAUCUGUAGAUGUAUAAAGUCAUAUCAAGUCAAUCUCGAAAAAUAAUAUAAUUCUACACUGACAGACAAGGCACAGCAAACUGGUCAUAUCAGCUGUAGAAAAAGAAAUGCAUAAUAGGACUUUCUGUAAUCCAAGAUGCAAAUUUGUCAGUCAGGUGGGAAUCACGGUUCUGGUUACUGAGAAAGACAAUGGCACCUCUCCAUUACGUUACACACUUUUCCUCAAAUACAUUCUGAAAUAAAAGCUGAAAACACAAUGCAGGAAGCAAAAAAAAAAUCACAAACAAAGACCUAAAUAAAGGGAUGACCAAGUUAUAUGACACCUAUCUCCGGUAGUUUUUCAAAAUUAUAUAUAUAUAUAUAUAUAUAUAUAUAUAUAUAUAUAUAUAUAUAUAUAUAUAUAUAUAUAUAUAAUGUAUACAGUAUAAUGCAUUUGAUUGAAAAAGGACUGGCAAAAUCUACAUCUCAAUUGAAAUGCUCCCGUGACCCGAUGUUGUCAGGUUUCUUAUGUGGUAAUUCAUAUAGAUUUUCCCUGUGUCAGCAGGAUAAGACUUUUUCUGGCUCACACAAGAGGAGGAGAGCCAGUCGAGGAAUACAGUAAAUGGGGUCUGAGGUGGGUACGAGGAGACUUGUGCGUGGAAGAGGCAUCUGUCACUCUGUUUGGUCUUCAGGACUCCUGAGGUACCACUUCCAUCAGCUUCUGGCAUGUUGCCGUGGCAGAGACUGGACAGAAA